This 2856-nucleotide ribosomal RNA is filed under the name Triticum aestivum (bread wheat). RNAcentral describes it as "partial small subunit ribosomal RNA". Lineage: Eukaryota; Viridiplantae; Streptophyta; Magnoliopsida; Poales; Poaceae. The record is from RNAcentral.
AUGCCUCCCUCCGUCUCGCCGCGGGGCGACGAGGCCGAGGCCGGUGCGCCUGUGCCCGACCCCGCCGCGCUGGCGCGGUGGGUGCGGGCGUUAUGCAUUACUCGCUCCGACCCGAAGCAAGGACAGCUGGUGGAGCGUUGCAUUCCGGCGGACGCGCUCGAUCACGGCUGCCUUGACCGGCACAUCGUCUUAUCCUCCCUCCUGGAAUCCACCUCUCACCAUCCCUCCCCCUUGCCGGUCCACGACUCUAUAUUCUCCUUCCGUAUUCCGAACCCACCCCCUUCUGCGGAGGGCAGCUUCAUAUACGGCUUUGUAUUCAACCGCCAGCGCCAGCGCCAGCACCCAGACCGCGUCGAGCAGAAGUCGUUUGUGAUACUUUCGGAUGCUCCUUAUGCUGGUCUGUUCCGUGAUCUGGUCCAGAUGUUUGGCCCUCAAUGCCUGGACACCAGCCAGACCGCGCUGUGGACUGUGGCAUCGCAAGUCGCUGACUGGCCGGACCCAUCACCAGGGUGCCCCAUGGAGCUCCCCGUUGGCAGCACCAUGCUGCGAGUCCAUCUCCCGCUUGCCGCUGCAGGCGCUAUCCCACUGUUGCUGCCGCAGAACCCGGGUCCUUUUCAUGAAGUCGAUUUAUUUACUGAGUUCUCUGGUCUGCUGGAUGACCUCUGGACAUUGUGGGAAUUGAUGUUAAUCGGUGAACCCAUACUAGUUGUGGCGCAAUCACCAGCUCAUUGCUCCGAGGUUGUCUGCGGUUUGGUUAGUCUCAUUGCCCCAGUGUUUUCCAGUGUGGAUUUCAGGCCAUAUAUUACUAUUCCCAGUCCAGACACUCGACGCCUUGCUGAACUUGUAGAAGACAAGGUCCCAAUUAUUCUCGGCGUGACAGACUUACUGUUUCUGGAGGUUUUCAAUAGUAUACCAAAUGUUGUGUCCGUAGGGAUCUCUGGUGGGCAAUCCCCAGCAUCAACAAAUCGGUUAAAUGAGAGGCCCGUGAAGCUAAAGUGUUUGAUGAAAGCUAUACACUUAAGAAGAGGCCCUCUUUCCCUCUUGUCAGAGUAUAGGGAGGCCCUAUGGAGUGAAUAUGUGCCAGUUACAAACCCAGACGAGUCUGUUCUAAGAAGACUCGUGGACUCCAAGUCCAUGUUAGCCAUCAACAACACAACACUGCGGCAGCAUUUCUUGGAGCUCACAAGCAAUUUUCUUGCUCCUUUUGAACCAUAUCUGAGAAUUACAACACCAUCUGAUGGGAGUUCUCGCUUUGUUGAUCAUUCACCACUGUUGCCACCAUUUGAAAAAGGCGAGUUUCUCAAGGGUUUAGCUGCUAAAGGUACUGACGAAUCAAUGGCAGCAGUCCAGAAACUGAGGACAGACCUCAAAGCAGCAUUCAGUCUUCUCCCAGAUGACACACAACAGCUGCUACUUUUUGACCAGAAAAGAGCCAUGCUUCUUGAAGUCAACGAAGAAACAGUCUCAGGAUCUGGUGACGUUGUCUCCGGGACAGGCCCUGGAAAAUCAUUUGUUCAGAUGGUUACAGAACCCUCAUAUCUACCCGAUUUCUUCCUCAAACCCCCUGCUACGAGCUCAGUGGUAAUUGGGCUGAACUAUCAGAAAAGGGGUGACAUGAGUUUUUUGCUGCUUUCAUUGCGUGAGACCGUUUACUUUGUCGACACUAUCCGCGGGAAAAAGAUUGUUGAAGCUUGCAAGGUGGUGUUGGAGUCGUUGACCAUAAAAAAAGUUAUUCACAGCUGUGUACCUUUAAGCAAGUUACUCUUUAAUGAAUAUGGCAUCACUCUUCGUAAUGUGAUGGAUACUCAGGUCGCGUAUUCUUUAUUGCAAAAUCAGAAACAAGAAAAUCCAGAAUGGGAGGACUUGUCCCUGACGAACCUUUUCACCGAUUAUCUCUUCCAAGGAAUGACAUCCAGUGCAGCACAAGAUGACAUAAAGCUGCAAUGUCAGGAUUUGGCAAGAUCAUGCUCGUCCUUGUCUGAUGAUAUGAUUGAGGCACUAGAAGUAGGAUAUGUAUGGCUUCUGCCUUCUUUACAUGGUAUGCUUGAAAAUGCAUUACCCAACUCAUCUUUUUGGGAUGUUGCAAUUCUAAGUACUGAGCUUUUGAGGCAUGGACAUUGGUCGGGUUCUGAAGUCACGCCAAGUUCUGACUUAACCGGGGCUGGGUUGAGUUUCCAGGAUGAAAUGAUGGAAUCAUUUACAGAACGGUGCACGAAGAUUGUGUGUGCAUAUGCUCAAACUCAGAUUACUGCUUGUAGUGGUGAUGGCCUAUUUUUACUAGCCGAGUCUUUCAGAUUCGUGAUUAAUAUGUUGCUCAUUCAAAAGAAAACCUGGAAAGGCAGAUUUGAGCUGUGCCAUCUGGUCAUCAGGAAUGGCAAGUUCUUAAUCUUGAUGCCGACUGUUGCUGACGCUAGUGCUGAAAGCGCAUUUCUUGAUCUAAAACAACUGUAUAUUCUCAUCAAGCCUUUUUUCAAAAACAACGGCAGAUUUGCAAAUUACGUCUCGAGUCUGAAAAUGACCAUCGAUGAACGUUCAAAGACCGUUACUGAUUCUCAGCUAGAGUCGAAGACCAUCCCACCUAUCCCAUUAAGAACAAAUGUACCAGAUGAAGCUAAAGAAGCACAGGACAAGGCAAUCCUGAAUGAACGCGUUGCUGAAAUCGUAGAGUAUUUUUUGGGAGUUGUUCGCAGACCGAAAAACAAAACUGCUGAUAAGGAGGGUUUACAACAGGUAGUUCAAACUCUUGAAGAGCCUGGCCACAUAUGUGGGCACUACUAUGGGAACUUCCUUGCGCAAGCGGUGUUCUCAAUCUUUAUGGAGUUUCGCCCUAAUGACAAUGAAGCGUAUGCACGCUAA